AUGACCCCAGGUCAGUCGGGACU
RNAcentral lists this ribosomal RNA (23 nucleotides) under Sporobolus indicus var. pyramidalis. Its description in RNAcentral is "partial 28S ribosomal RNA". The record is from RNAcentral. RNAcentral also lists the same sequence under 3 other names. Lineage: Eukaryota; Viridiplantae; Streptophyta; Magnoliopsida; Poales; Poaceae.